Molecule: ribosomal RNA, 301 nt
Filed under: uncultured bacterium
Lineage: Bacteria
Description: partial 16S ribosomal RNA
Rfam family: Bacterial small subunit ribosomal RNA
Source: RNAcentral
CAGCCGCCGCGGUAAUACGUAGGUGGCAAGCGUUGUCCGGAAUUAUUGGGCGUAAAGGGCUCGCAGGCGGUUUCUUAAGUCUGAUGUGAAAGCCCCCGGCUCAACCGGGGAGGGUCAAUGGAAACUGGGAAACUUGAGUGCAGAAGAGGAGAGUGGAUUCCACGUGUAGCGGUGGAAUGCGUAGAGAUGUGGAGGAACACCAGUGGCGAAGGCGACUCUCUGGUCUGUAACUGACGCUGAGGAGCGAAAGCGUGGGGAGCGAACAGGAUUAGAUACCCCCGUAGUCCCUGUCUCUUAUACA